ACGGAGGGUGCAAGCGUUAAUCGGAAUUACUGGGCGUAAAGAGUACGUAGGUGGUCUAUUAAGUCAGAUGUGAAAGCCCCGGGCUUAACCUGGGAACUGCAUUUGAUACUGGUAAACUAGAGUAUGGUAGAGGGGGGUAGAAUUCAUAGUGUAGCGGUGAAAUGCGUAGAUAUUAUGAGGAAUACCAGUGGCGAAGGCGGCCCCCUGGACCAAUACUGACACUGAGGUACGAAAGCGUGGGGAGCAAACAGG
Molecule: ribosomal RNA, 252 nt
Filed under: uncultured bacterium
Lineage: Bacteria
Description: partial 16S ribosomal RNA
Rfam family: Bacterial small subunit ribosomal RNA
Source: RNAcentral